GCUGGGCAUGGUGGUGCACACCUGUAGUCCCAGCUACUCAGGAGGCUGAGGCAGGAGGAUCACUUUAGCCCAGGAGUUCUAGGUGCGCUGUGCCGAUUGAGUGUCCACACUAAGUUUGGCAUUGAUAUGGUGACCUCCUGGGAGCAGGGCAGCACCAGACUGCUUAAGGAGGGGUGAACCAGCCCAGGUCAGAAAUGGAGCAGGUCCAAAUUCACAAGCUUGUUCAGUAGUGGGAUUGUGCCUGUGAAUAGCCACUGCACUCCAACCUGGGCAAUGUAGCGAGACCUCGUCUCU
RNAcentral lists this signal recognition particle RNA (294 nucleotides) under Prolemur simus (greater bamboo lemur). RNAcentral's name for it is "Metazoan signal recognition particle RNA (ENSPSMG00000011664.1)". It matches the Rfam family "Metazoan signal recognition particle RNA". Rfam says of the family: The signal recognition particle (SRP) is a universally conserved ribonucleoprotein. It is involved in the co-translational targeting of proteins to membranes. The record is from RNAcentral. Lineage: Eukaryota; Metazoa; Chordata; Mammalia; Primates; Lemuridae.